Non-coding RNA from Acanthosepion pharaonis, 113 nucleotides. Lineage: Eukaryota; Metazoa; Mollusca; Cephalopoda; Sepiida; Sepiidae. The record is from the annotation of a GenBank genome assembly.
UACAGCCAUAUCAUGUUGGAACACCGGUUCUUGUACAAACACCAAACUUAAGCAACCUUGAGCCUGGUCAGUACCUAGAUGGGUGACCUCUUGGGAAUACCAGGUGCUGUAAG